AUGUCGAUCAUGCAGUACUGCACGAAGCUGAAGACCUAUGCCGAUCAACUACGCGACCUUGGGCAGCCCGUGCAGGAGCCCCAGGAGGUCUUUCAUCUCCUCCGUGGGCUCGGCCGCCAGUACCAUGGCGCCAUCUCGCACAUCACCGCGCGCACGCCCCUGCCCUCCUUCCUGCAAGUCCACUCUUUCCUUCUCCUGGAAGAGCAUCGCACCGAGCAGUCUACGCGUCAGCAGGGUGUGCAUGCGCUCGUCACUGGGUGCGGCUCCACUCCGACAGCUCCUUCGCCGCCACCGCCUGCUGACCCCGCUGUUGGGCAUGGGCGUGGUCGCCAGCGUCGCCGCGGACGCGGCAACGAUGUCGGCUCCAGCUCUGCUUCGCCACCGGCAACCCGAGGGGGGGGGGUGUGCGCCGCCGACACCAGCACCAGGCUCCAACUCCUGGACUAG
This 447-nucleotide ribosomal RNA is filed under the name Triticum aestivum (bread wheat). RNAcentral's name for it is "partial small subunit ribosomal RNA". Lineage: Eukaryota; Viridiplantae; Streptophyta; Magnoliopsida; Poales; Poaceae. The record is from RNAcentral.